AUUGAACGCUGGCGGCAGGCUUAACACAUGCAAGUCGAGCGGAGAGAGGUAGCUUGCUACCGAUCUUAGCGGCGGACGGGUGAGUAAUGCUUAGGAAUCUGCCUAUUAGUGGGGGACAACAUUUCGAAAGGAAUGCUAAUACCGCAUACGUCCUACGGGAGAAAGCAGGGGAUCUUCGGACCUUGCGCUAAUAGAUGAGCCUAAGUCGGAUUAGCUAGUUGGUGGGGUAAAGGCCUACCAAGGCGACGACCUGUAGCGGGUCUGAGAGGAUGAUCCGCCACACUGGGACUGAGACACGGCCCAGACUCCUACGGGAGGCAGCAGUGGGGAAUAUUGGACAAUGGGCGGAAGCCUGAUCCAGCCAUGCCGCGUGUGUGAAGAAGGCCUUAUGGUUGUAAAGCACUUUAAGCGAGGAGGAGGCUACUUUAGUUAAUACCUAGAGAUAGUGGACGUUACUCGCAGAAUAAGCACCGGCUAACUCUGUGCCAGCAGCCGCAGUAA
Molecule: ribosomal RNA, 501 nt
Filed under: uncultured bacterium
Lineage: Bacteria
Description: partial 16S ribosomal RNA
Rfam family: Bacterial small subunit ribosomal RNA
Source: RNAcentral